UUGGAGAAAAUAUUCAGUGGGAAGCAAACACCACGUCAUCAUCUGACGUGGUGUGCAUGUCCCAUUCAUUGGUUGACACCUGGCCACUAAAAUCCCAAUCAACUAAAUUUUAGGUUAGGUUUUAAAUCGCUCACAAAAUUUUAGUUUCCCAGAGAAAGUUCAAAUUUUUAAUUUCCUAUUAUAGUCUCUCGUCCACCUCUUCCUCCUAAACUAGAUCUAGACCAAGAUCGAUUCUGCAACUGGUUUUCUGCUCCGACUAGGAUCGAUCUACAUGGAUUCAAGUAAUUUCCUAUGAUAGUCUCUCGUCCACCUCUUCCUCCUAAACCAGAUCUAGACCAAGAUCGAUUCUGCAACCGGUUUUCUGCUCCGACUAGGAUCGAUCUACAUGGAUUCAAGAGAUUUAUCUUUCUAGCAGCAUAUUUGGAUCUUGACAUCUUCGCCAUCGUUAUCAUCUUCCUCAACUCGACGUCGAUAUUGACUCCUCCUCCGCUGAAGGUGUCGAGAUGAUUUUUUCGAUUUGAGUUCUGCAAUUGCAGGUUCUGGACCCUAAAUCCUUGUACAAGCAUGAAUUCAUUCUCCUGAAGCGUCUGUUGGGCACUGCAGUAGCACAACACAUAGAGUCCUUGUAAUAUUUAAUUUCAGAAGCACAUAGGUUCUGGGUAGCACGUAUAGUACUUGUAAUUUUUGAUAUUUGGAGAGUUGUUCUUCUUGUUGGUUGGGUCCUUGUAAUUUUUGGCUUCCCUUGUACAUUUACUUGAAUCAUUGAGAGCAAUAUUUGGAGAUUUGUUCCUACUGUUGGUUGAGUUCUUUUAAUUUUUGGUUUCCCUUGUACAUUUACUUGAAUCAAUGAGAACAAUAUUUGAUCAUAUUAGGUGUAUAUGAUCAAGUCAGCUGCUUCAUCCA
This is an RNA transcript of Tripterygium wilfordii, 903 nucleotides long. RefSeq lists it as uncharacterized. The record is from RefSeq and is a predicted model, not a curated record. Lineage: Eukaryota; Viridiplantae; Streptophyta; Magnoliopsida; Celastrales; Celastraceae. The transcript has 2 exons.